Molecule: small RNA, 2986 nt
Filed under: Pan troglodytes (chimpanzee)
Lineage: Eukaryota; Metazoa; Chordata; Mammalia; Primates; Hominidae
Description: retained intron
Source: RNAcentral
CUGUGUUGACAGCUGCUAAUGAGUGUGUUGGUGUUUUGCUCGGCAGCUUGGAUCCUAGCAUGACUAUACAUUGUGACAUGGUCAUUACAUAUGGAUUAGACCAACUGGAGAAUUGCCAGACUUGUGGUACCGAUUAUAUCAUCUCAGUCUUGAAUUUACUCACGCUGGUAUGUGAAUUAUUCUUUUCCUUUUUAAUGUGUUGGUUUAUUCAGGCCCUUAAAUCGAUAUGUAAGAAAUUAAGGGCUUUGUCUGGGCAUGGUGGCUCAUGCUUGUAAUCCCAGCGCUUUGGGAGGCCAAAGCAGAAGGAUUGCUUGCAUCCAGGAAUUCUGGCACAGCUUGGGCAAUGUAGUGAGACCCCAUCUGUACAAAAAGUCAAAAAUUAGCUUGGUGUAGUGGUGUGCACCUGUAGUCCUAGCUACUCGGGAGGCUGAGGGAAGGAGGAUCGAUUAAGCCCAGGAACUUGAGGUUGAAGAGCGCUCUGAUUGUGCCACUGCACUCAGCCAAGGUGACAAAAAAAGGCCCUGUCUCCAAAAAAGAAAAAAAAAUAAGGGCUUUUUUGCUUUAUUAUAUUUUUUUUUAGAGUACAUUCAUUAGUCUUAUAAUCUAUGCUUUCAUUUUAGUGUCUAUUUACUUUUAUUUUUAAUGCAAUUUUUUUUUGAGACAGGGUCUCACUCUGUUGCACAGGAUGAAGUGCAGUGGCAUGAUUUUGGCUCACUGCAGCCUUGACCUCUUGGGUUCAGGUGAUCCUCCCACCUCAGCCCCCAGGUAGCUAGGACUACAGGUGUGCACCACCACACCUGGCUAAUUUUUUGUAUUAUUUUGUAGAGAUGGAGUUUUGCCAUGUUGCCCAGGCUGGUCUUGAAUUCUUGGGUUCAAGCAAUCCACCUGCCUUGGCCUCCCAAAGUACUGGGAUUAUAGGCAUGAGCCACUCUGCCAGGCCUCUAUUUUUAGUGGUUGAUAGCUAGUCUCAGUGUAGCUUUACUCGUGUUUUUUGAGGAAACAUUGCUCUAUGCACCAGAUUCUUUCUUUUUUUCUUUUCUUUUUUUUUUUUUUUUUUUUUGUCACAGGAUCUUGCUGUAUUCCCCUGGUUGGAGUGCAGCGGUACAAUCAGAGCUCACUGCAGCCUCAAACUCCUGGGCUCAAGUGAUCCUCCCCCUCAGCCUCCCGACUAUCUGGGACUACAGAUGCAUGCCACCAUGCCUGGCUAACCUUUGUAUUUUUUGGAGAGAAGGGGUCUCACUACAUUGUCUAGGCUGGCCUCAAAUUCUUGGUCUCAAGUAAUCCUCCUGCCUUGCCCUCCCAAAGUGCUGGGAUUACAGGUGUGAGCAAUCAUGCCUGGCCUCCUUUAAUUUCUUUCUUUUUUUUUUUGUUGAGACGGAGUCUCGCUCUUUUGCCCAGGCUGGAGUGCAGUGGCACAAUUGUAUUUUUAGUAGAGACGGGGUUUCACCGUGUUAGCCAGGAUGGUCUCGAUCUCCUGACCUCGUGAUCUGCCUGCCUUGGCCUCCCAAAGUGCUGAGAUUACAGGCGUGAGCCACCGCGCCCGGCCGGCCUCCUUUAAUUUCUUAACCAUAAAUAUCCUCCCCCCACUUUUAUUAUGGACAUUCUGAAGCACAUAAAAAUAGGGAGCAUAGUAUAAUAAAUUUGUACAUAUUUAACACUCAGCUUCUAUAAUUAGAAACAAAUGGCCCAUCUGGUUUCAUCUAGGCCUCUUUGCUAUCCUUUCAUCUCCAACUGGAGUAUUUUAAAGCAAAUUCUAGAUGACAUUCUGCUGAGCAUUUCUGCCAGAAUUACACCUCUUUUUACUAAUGUGAAAAAAUGCCCAUGAUAACUGUAAAAUACGUGUGUCCUAUUUAGGUGUCUAAACACUUGAAUGUCACAGUAUUAAGGCCUUAAAAUAUAGCUUAGAUAUAUUUUUCUAAAUUAAAAGACUUUAUUUUUUAGAUAUACAGAAAAUUGAGCAGAAAACAAUGAGUUCCCAUAUACCUUCUUCAUCCCAACAGUUUCCCCCUCAUUAACAUAUUGUGUUAGUGUGGUACAUUUAUUACAAAGGAGUGAAUAUUGAUAUAUUAUUAUUAACUAAUUUUAUAGUUUACUUUGUGUUAUGUAUUCUAUGGACUUUAACAUGUGUAAUGACAUGUUUCCCCUAUUACCAGUAUCAUACAGGAUAGUUUCACUUCCCUAAAAAUCUUUUAUGUUCUACCCACUCCUUCCUCCUUCCCUCUCCCCACUCCUCCCUCCCUCCAUCUUAAGCCCAUGGCAACCCCUGAUCUUUUUACUGUCUCCAUCAUUUUGCCUUUUCCAGAAUGCCAUGUAGUUGGAGUCAUAUAGUAUGUAGCCUUUUCAAUUGGCUUCUUUCACUUACCAGUGUGCAUUUAAGGUUUCUCCAUGUCUUUUUGUAAUUUGAGAAGCUCAUUUUUUAAAAAUUUUAUUCUUUUAGAUUGUUGAACAGAUAAAUACGAAACUGCCGUCAUCAUUUGUAGAAAAACUGUUUAUACCAUCAUCUAAACUACUAUUCUUGCGUUAUCAUAAAGAAAAAGAGGUUGUUGCUGUAGCCCAUGCUGUUUAUCAAGCAGUGCUCAGCUUGAAGAAUAUUCCUGUUUUGGAGACUGCCUAUAAGUUAAUAUUGGGAGAAAUGACUUGUGCCCUAAACAACCUCCUGCACAGUCUACAACUUCCUGAGGCCUGUUCUGAAAUAAAACAUGAGGCUUUUACGAAUCAUGUGUUCAAUGUAGACAAUGCAAAAUUUGUAGUUAUAUUUGACCUCAGUGCCCUGACUACAAUUGGAAAUGCCAAAAACUCACUAAUAGGGGUGAGUCUUUAAUUGUAAUGACUUUGUUUUAUCCACAGUUAAGCCUUUUCUCAUUACAUAUUUAUGUAUUUCACUGUCAUGUCAAGAUGUCUGCAGAAUCACUGUGUGUAACAAACAGCCAUAUUUAAGACAUGCCUGGAUAAAUAAAAUUGGUAGGAAUGUUUUCUUGCCAUUAUA